Molecule: long non-coding RNA, 590 nt
Organism: Daktulosphaira vitifoliae (grape phylloxera)
Lineage: Eukaryota; Metazoa; Arthropoda; Insecta; Hemiptera; Phylloxeridae
Exons: 3
Source: RefSeq, a predicted model, not a curated record
AAUUUAUGAGCCUAUAAACCAUCCAUCAGUCUACUCGAGAUAUAAGAUCUUCAAGCUGAACCGGUAAACCGAUUCGUCACCCACGGAUGUGUACAUUAAUUAUGCAGUUGAAUAACAAAUAUACAUGAAUGCAAACUGGGAUCAGAAUAAAUUCAGGUCAAUGAUUUUAUGUGUAAAAUGGGUAAAUUUCGACAAAAAACCUUUUCACAGUAAAACUACCAUUUCGUUAAAAUAUAUUUUUAACUAUAUUUACACAAUGCAUCCUAUAUUCGCACUUUUUUUUUUUUCUUAAGCUUUAAUGCUUAUUACUUUUCAACAAAAAAAAAUUAUAACUCUAACAUUUUUUAUAAUAUUAUUAAUGGUUUAAAAUAUAAUGAAGUAAAUAUCGAAAUGCAGAGUGUUCAGUAAGUAAGGAAACAAAUCAAUUGUUAUAAACAAUGAGAACAAUAGAAAUCCGUUUUCUUACCUACUGAACAUUCUAUAUAAUUCUAACCGUAACUAGUGUAACGCAUUUAAAAUUUUAACUGAAACUGUUUUUCUUAAUAUAUUAAAAUUGUUCAUAAUUAAUAAUUAUAGUAAUUACUUAUAUA